This 1240-nucleotide ribosomal RNA is filed under the name metagenome. RNAcentral describes it as "SSU rRNA". It matches the Rfam family "Eukaryotic small subunit ribosomal RNA", at positions 560 to 1823 of the family's 1831-position model. The record is from RNAcentral.
UCUGGUGCCAGCAGCCGCGGUAAUUCCAGCUCCAAUAGCGUAUAUUAAAGUUGUUGCGGUUAAAAAGCUCGUAGUUGGAUCUCGGUUUCACUCAGGUGGUACACCUUGCGGUGUUCACUAUCUGGGUGGACGUUUCUGUUGGUUCGCUCUUGGUGCUCUUCAUCGGGUGCCAUUUGGUGGCCAGCACGUUUACUUUGAAAAAAUUGGAGUGCUCAAAGCAGGCGUUACAGCCUGAACAUUAGUGCAUGGAAUAAUGGAAUAGGAUCUCGAUUCUAUUUCGUUGGCUUUCGGAGUCGAGGUAAUGAUUAAUAGGGACAGACGGGGGCAUUCGUACUGCGGCGUUAGAGGUGAAAUUCUUGGAUCGUCGCAAGACGAACUACUGCGAAAGCAUUUGCCAAGGAUGUUUUCAUUAAUCAAAAACGAAAGUUAGAGGUUCGAAGGCGAUCAGAUACCGCCCUAGUUCUAACCAUAAACGAUGCCAACCGGCGAUCCGUCGUCGUUAAUUGAAUGACUCGACGGGCAGCCUCCGGGAAACCAGAGUGUUUGGGUUCCGGGGGAAGUAUGGUUGCAAAGCUGAAACUUAAAGGAAUUGACGGAAGGGCACCACCAGGAGUGGAGCCUGCGGCUUAAUUUGACCCAACACGGGAAAUCUCACCAGGCCCGGACACCGGAAGGAUUGACAGAUUGAGAGCUCUUUCUUGAUUCGGUGGGUGGUGGUGCAUGGCCGUUCUUAGUUGGUGGAGCGAUUUGUCUGGUUAAUUCCGAUAACGAACGAGACUCUGGCCUACUAACUAGAAGGUCUAUCCUUUAUGGGUAGGCCUCUGCUUCUUAGAGGGACGGGCGGCGUUUAGCCGCACGAGAAUGAGCAAUAACAGGUCUGUGAUGCCCUUAGAUGUUCUGGGCUGCACGCGCGCUACACUGAAGGAAUCAGCAUGUUCUCCCCUCCCUGAAAAGGGCGGGUAACCCGUUGAAACUCCUUCGUGAUGGGGAUUGGAGAUUGUAAUUAUUCUCCAUGAACGAGGAAUUCCCAGUAGGCGCGAGUCACCAGCUUGCGUCGAUUACGUCCCUGCCCUUUGUACACACCGCCCGUCGCUACUACCGAUCGAGUGAUUUAGUGAGGACUUCGGACUGGUCUUCAAGUUGGCUUCGGUCGGCUCGAAGUUCCGGAAAGAUGCCCAAACUUGAUCACUUAGAGGAAGUAAAAGUCGUAACAAGGUUUCCGUAGGUGAACCUGCGGAAG